AACGAACGCUGGCGGCAGGCUUAACACAUGCAAGUCGAACGCACCUUUCGGGGUGAGUGGCAGACGGGUGAGUAACGCGUGGGAAUCUACCCUUCUCUACGGGAUAGCUCCGGGAAACUGGAAUUAAUACCGUAUACGUCCUGAGGGCGAAAGAUUUAUCGGGGAAGGAUGAGCCCGCGUUGGAUUAGCUAGUUGGUGGGGUAAAGGCCUACCAAGGCGACGAUCCAUAGCUGGUCUAAGAGGAUGAUCAGCCACAUUGGGACUGAGACACGGCCCAAACUCCUACGGGAGGCAGCAGGGGGGAAUAGUGGACGAUGGGCGCAAGCCUGAUCCAGCCAUGCCGCGUGAGUGAUGAAGGCCCUAGGGUUGUAAAGCUCUUUCAGUGGGGACGAUAAUGACGGUACCCACAGAAGAAGCCCCGGCUAACUUCGUG
This 433-nucleotide ribosomal RNA is filed under the name uncultured bacterium. RNAcentral's name for it is "partial 16S ribosomal RNA". It matches the Rfam family "Bacterial small subunit ribosomal RNA", at positions 29 to 507 of the family's 1533-position model. The record is from RNAcentral.